AGUCACGUUGUUGUUAUGAUAGAAUAUACAAAUUGUUCGUUGCUUCUAUUGGACUGCAUUUGUGUCUGUGCACGUGCUCUUUGCACAUACAUAUUGGCAAGACAGGGCACCUCCUGUCUACAGUCAUAGCAGCAAUAAAGUGACUUCUUGCCAAGUAUUCGCUACAAGUUCUUACUGGUGAAGCGCACAAAAGAUGGCUCCAUGAGCUGGGCAAACGCCUGGAGAUGCCCUACGUCAACAACACGGUCGGCGGCCCGUCGGUGCACAGCUCGUACAUCGCCGCCCUCUACUUCACCCUCAGCAGCCUGACCAGCGU
Molecule: long non-coding RNA, 316 nt
Organism: Entelurus aequoreus (snake pipefish)
Lineage: Eukaryota; Metazoa; Chordata; Actinopteri; Syngnathiformes; Syngnathidae
Exons: 3
Source: RefSeq, a predicted model, not a curated record